GAGAGGGGGUGACUAGUGACCGAGUGAGGGAGGGAGUGGGUGACUAGUGACAGAGUGAGGAAGGGGGUGGCACAGUGAUAGUCACCCCAUUCCUCCCUCUGUCACUAAUCACCACCUCCCUCACUCUCACUAGUCACACCCUCCCUCUCUCUGUCACUAGUCACACCCUUACUCACUGUCACUAGUCACACCCUUACUCACUGUCACUAGUCACACCCUCCCUCUC
Pelobates cultripes (western spadefoot toad) is the source of this 226-nucleotide non-coding RNA. Lineage: Eukaryota; Metazoa; Chordata; Amphibia; Anura; Pelobatidae. The record is from the annotation of a GenBank genome assembly.